CCUACGGGAGGCAGCAGUGAGGAAUAUUGGUCAAUGGACGAGAGUCUGAACCAGCCAAGUCGCGUGAAGGAUGACUGCCCUAUGGGUUGUAAACUUCUUUUAUAUGGGAAUAAAAUGUUCCACGUGUGGGAUUUUGUAUGUACCAUAUGAAUAAGGAUCGGCUAACUCCGUGCCAGCAGCCGCGGUAAUACGGAGGAUCCGAGCGUUAUCCGGAUUUAUUGGGUUUAACGGGAGCGUAGGUGGAUUGUUAAGUCAGUUGUGAAAGUUUGCUGCUCAACCGUAAAAUUGCAGUUGAAACUGGCAGGCUUGAGUACAGUAGAGGUGGGCGGAAGUCGUGGUGUAGCGGUGAAAUGCUUAGAUAUCACGAAGAACUCCGAUUGCGAAGGCAGCUCACUGGACUGCAACUGACACUGAGGCUCGAAAGUGUGGGUAUCAAACAGGAUUAGAUACCCCGGUAGUC
RNAcentral lists this ribosomal RNA (460 nucleotides) under uncultured bacterium. RNAcentral's name for it is "partial 16S ribosomal RNA". It matches the Rfam family "Bacterial small subunit ribosomal RNA", at positions 338 to 795 of the family's 1533-position model. The record is from RNAcentral.